This 437-nucleotide ribosomal RNA is filed under the name Babesia capreoli. RNAcentral's name for it is "SSU rRNA". It matches the Rfam family "Eukaryotic small subunit ribosomal RNA", at positions 526 to 1013 of the family's 1831-position model. Lineage: Eukaryota; Apicomplexa; Aconoidasida; Piroplasmida; Babesiidae. The record is from RNAcentral.
UAAACCCUCACCAGAGUAACAAUUGGAGGGCAAGUCUGGUGCCAGCAGCCGCGGUAAUUCCAGCUCCAAUAGCGUAUAUUAAACUUGUUGCAGUUAAAAAGCUCGUAGUUGAAUUUUUGCGUGGUGUUAAUAUUGACUGAUGUCGAGAUUGCACUUCGCUUUUGGGAUUUUUCCCUUUUUACUUUGAGAAAAUUAGAGUGUUUCAAGCAGACUUUUGUCUUGAAUACUUCAGCAUGGAAUAAUAGAGUAGGACUUUGGUUCUAUUUUGUUGGUUUGUGAACCUUAGUAAUGGUUAAUAGGAACGGUUGGGGGCAUUCGUAUUUAACUGUCAGAGGUGAAAUUCUUAGAUUUGUUAAAGACGAACUACUGCGAAAGCAUUUGCCAAGGACGUUUUCAUUAAUCAAGAACGAAAGUUAGGGGAUCGAAGACGAUCAGAU